UAACUGUGCCUGAGCUGUCAUUAAACACUAGGUUAUGACAGGGUUACUGGAUUUUCUACUAUUUUAUUUAAAGAAUGGGUGGGAGGCAGCUUCAGCAGGAAUAAUGCACUAAAACAACCCACAUUUUGCAGCAUAUAUGCUUCAAGUUCCCAUAAGGCAGCGACACACAGAAUUUAAUAGCAAAGUCUCCUUUUGCCUCUCCCAGAAAGCAUAAAAGUGGCAGCUUAUACAUUCUCUUUAACUUACAGAAGCCAAGGAGACUUUUACUGAAGACACCUAAAAAGACAUUACAAGGCACCUCUGGCAAUGAAAUGAGUAUCUCCCUAUUUCAGCAAGAAGAAUAGAAACUCUAGCUCUUCUCUCUCCACGGUAAUACAAGGCACGAUAAAGGAAAAGCAUACAAACAAGGAAACUGGUAGUGCAAUUAAUUUUGGUACUUGUAGUACCCUGGAAAAGCAACACAAGCAUCCUACAGAAGAGCAAAGGAAUAAGCACCAACCCCGGUGCUGGGCAGGUGCUGGGUUGCCCUUCAGAGCUGGAGAUCUUCAAAGAACUUCUGGAGAGGACCAAAAUCCUCAGCUGCAUAGCUGCAGCAUCAGGCACCAAGGUGGAGAGCAGAACAAGGCUGGGAGCCAGCCUUGAGCAGAACCUCCAGAGGAGAGCAGAGCCACCAGAGGAGAGCAGAACAAGGCUGGGAGCCAGCCCUAUGCAGGUACAUCUUUUCCCUUGCUAAGGCAAAACCCCUCCAGCUCUGCACCAUGCAGCCCUCUUCAAUGACAGCAAGCAGCUUUGGAGAUUUUGACCAAACCUCUGUAGAGACCUGUUUAGAUUUUUCCGGGGGCAAAGGAGUUUCUGGAGUUACAAGACCUCAGUUGAGGGGCUUGAAGGAAUCUCUUGGCAUUGGGUGAAUAUUGCUGCCAAGCUGCCAAAUAGCAUUCCAGCAGAGAAUAUUGAUGGACCCCAAUGUGAAAUUAAGAAACCAUCCAAUCCAUUUAUCAGC
This 1000-nucleotide long non-coding RNA is filed under the name Anas platyrhynchos platyrhynchos (common mallard). Its description in RNAcentral is "lncRNA (ENSAPLG00000026225.1)". Lineage: Eukaryota; Metazoa; Chordata; Aves; Anseriformes; Anatidae. The record is from RNAcentral.